RNAcentral lists this transfer RNA (71 nucleotides) under Bos taurus (domestic cattle). It matches the Rfam family "tRNA". From Rfam's summary of the family: Transfer RNA (tRNA) molecules are approximately 80 nucleotides in length. Lineage: Eukaryota; Metazoa; Chordata; Mammalia; Artiodactyla; Bovidae. The record is from Rfam by way of RNAcentral.
UCCUGGUGGCUCAGAGGUUAAAGCAUCUGCCUGCAAUGUGGGAGACCUGGGUUCGAUUCCUGGGUCGGGAA